Molecule: unclassified non-coding RNA, 246 nt
Filed under: Hevea brasiliensis (rubber tree)
Lineage: Eukaryota; Viridiplantae; Streptophyta; Magnoliopsida; Malpighiales; Euphorbiaceae
Source: RNAcentral
UUGCAUUUGCUUGCGUAUGUCACUCCAGAGGAGCCUCGACUCUUCUUCACAAGCGAAACAACUAAAACCCCUCUUUCUAAUUACAUUGAUUUUCUAGCAACAUUUCCUCAAGAAAUCUGUAAGUAUUCAUACAUUCAAUUUUGCUUGUUUUUAGAUUUGGGGUACCAUCAAAUUCUCUAAAUUUAUUGAAAUUUGAUAGCUUGAUUGAUCUUCGUACAAAGUAUUCUUAGUUGUAUUGGAUCUGAA